UUCUUAAAAUAAGAUGUUUGGUUAGAACUAUUGAUUGUUUUCACUUUUGUUAUCUUAGCAGAAUGACGCAUCAUCCAUCAAAAAUGUGAGUGUGAGGACGGUGGGACCAUUCUGGCACACUGAGCAGCAGGGCCCUCCGAGCCCUCAGAUGUCGUCCAGCCAGGUGUGUGGGGGCCACUUGCCAUGCACAGCUUCUCUCAGCAGAGGUUGGUGAACCGUACUCCAACAGAAAGGGGAAAUAAGACUAAUGGCCUUCAUGUUCCUACCAAUCUUACAAGAUCCUACUCUGUGUUACCUUUCCCAUGGAGACGUCAUUAAAUAUUCC
RNAcentral lists this long non-coding RNA (325 nucleotides) under Rhinopithecus bieti (black snub-nosed monkey). RNAcentral describes it as "lncRNA (ENSRBIG00000046118.1)". The record is from RNAcentral. Lineage: Eukaryota; Metazoa; Chordata; Mammalia; Primates; Cercopithecidae.